UACGUAGGAUGCAAGCGUUGUCCGGAUUUACUGGGCGUAAAGCGCGCGCAGGCGGCUUGAUAAGUAUGGCGUGAAAUCUCCCUGCUCAACGGGGAGGGUGCGUUGUAGACUGUCGAGCUUGAGGUCGGUAGAGGGGGGUGGAAUUGCUGGUGUAGCGGUGAAAUGCGUAGAGAUCAGCAGGAACACCCGUGGCGAAGGCGGCCCCCUGGGCCGUACCUGACGCUGAGGCGCGAAGGCUAGGGGAGCGACCCGG
This 253-nucleotide ribosomal RNA is filed under the name uncultured bacterium. RNAcentral's name for it is "partial 16S ribosomal RNA". It matches the Rfam family "Bacterial small subunit ribosomal RNA", at positions 524 to 776 of the family's 1533-position model. The record is from RNAcentral.